Molecule: ribosomal RNA, 500 nt
Filed under: uncultured bacterium
Lineage: Bacteria
Description: partial 16S ribosomal RNA
Rfam family: Bacterial small subunit ribosomal RNA
Source: RNAcentral
AUUGAACGCUGGCGGAAUGCUUUACACAUGCAAGUCGAACGGCAGCACGGACUUCGGUCUGGUGGCGAGUGGCGAACGGGUGAGUAAUGUAUCGGAACGUGCCCAGUCGUGGGGGAUAACGUAGUGAAAAUUACGCUAAUACCGCAUACGAUCUAUGGAUGAAAGCGGGGGAUCGCAAGACCUCGCGCGAUUGGAGCGGCCGAUAUCAGAUUAGGUAGUUGGUGGGGUAAAGGCCCACCAAGCCAACGAACUGUAGCUGGUCUGAGAGGACGACCAGCCAGACUGGAACUGAGACACGGUCCAGACUCCUACGGGAGGCAGCAGGGGGGAAUUUUGGACAAUGGGCGAAAGCCUGAUCCAGCCAUUCCGCGUGCAGGAUGAAGGCCCUCGGGUUGUAAACUGCUUUUGUACAGAACGAAAAGGUUUCUACUAAUACUAGGAGCUCAUGACGGUACUGUAAGAAUAAGCACCGGCUAACUACGUGCCAGCCGCCGCAGUAA